UACAGAGGGGGCAAGCGUUGUUCGGAAUUACUGGGCGUAAAGGGCGCGUAGGCGGCCCGCUAAGUCGAACGUGAAAUCCCCGAGCUCAACUCGGGAACUGCGUCCGAUACUGGCGGGCUUGAAUCCGGGAGAGGGAUGCGGAAUUCCAGGUGUAGCGGUGAAAUGCGUAGAUAUCUGGAGGAACACCGGUGGCGAAGGCGGCCCCCUGGACCGGUACUGACGCUGAGGCGCGAAAGCGUGGGUAGCAAACGGG
RNAcentral lists this ribosomal RNA (253 nucleotides) under uncultured bacterium. Its description in RNAcentral is "partial 16S ribosomal RNA". It matches the Rfam family "Bacterial small subunit ribosomal RNA", at positions 524 to 776 of the family's 1533-position model. The record is from RNAcentral.